UGGGACGUAGCUCAGCAGCAGAGCACCUGCCUGGUAAGCAGGAGGCCCUGAGUUUGAUUCCUGGUACCAA
Molecule: transfer RNA, 70 nt
Filed under: Heterocephalus glaber (naked mole-rat)
Lineage: Eukaryota; Metazoa; Chordata; Mammalia; Rodentia; Bathyergidae
Rfam family: tRNA
About the family: Transfer RNA (tRNA) molecules are approximately 80 nucleotides in length. Their secondary structure includes four short double-helical elements and three loops (D, anti-codon, and T loops). Further hydrogen bonds mediate the characteristic L-shaped molecular structure. tRNAs have two regions of fundamental functional importance: the anti-codon, which is responsible for specific mRNA codon recognition, and the 3' end, to which the tRNAs corresponding amino acid is attached (by aminoacyl-tRNA synthetases). tRNAs cope with the degeneracy of the genetic code in two manners: having more than one tRNA (with a specific anti-codon) for a particular amino acid; and 'wobble' base-pairing, i.e. permitting non-standard base-pairing at the 3rd anti-codon position.
Source: Rfam by way of RNAcentral